UACAGAGACUGCAAGCGUUAUUCGGAUUCACUGGGCGUAAAGGGUUUGUAGGUGGCUUGUUAAGUCAGACGUGAAAUCCCUCAGCUUAACUGGGGAACUGCGUCUGAUACUGAUGAGCUUGAGUGCAGGAGAGGAACGCGGAAUUCCAGGUGUAGCGGUGAAAUGCGUAGAUAUCUGGAGGAACACCGGUGGCGAAGGCGGCGUUCUGGACUGCAACUGACACUGAGAAACGAAAGCCAGGGGAGCAAACGGG
This 253-nucleotide ribosomal RNA is filed under the name uncultured bacterium. Its description in RNAcentral is "partial 16S ribosomal RNA". It matches the Rfam family "Bacterial small subunit ribosomal RNA", at positions 524 to 776 of the family's 1533-position model. The record is from RNAcentral.